GACGAACGCUGGCGGCGUGCUUAACACAUGCAAGUCGAACGAUGAAGAAGAGAAACGCGAACUUCGGUUCAAAUUUCACUUCGGAUUAGUGGCAGACGGGUGAGUAACGCGUGAGCAACCUACCUCUUACAAAGGGAUAGCCUCGGGAAACCGUGAUUAAUACCAUAUGACACCUUCAUAAGGCAUCUUAAGAAUGUUAAAGCUACGGCGGUAAGAGAUGGGCUCGCGUCCCAUUAGCUAGUUGGUGAGGUAACGGCCCACCAAGGCGACGAUGGGUAACGGGGGGGAGAGGGUGAAGGGUGAGAGGGGAGGUGAGACACGGUGGGAAGGGGGAGGGGAGGGAGGAGUGGGGGAGAGUGAAGAGGGGAGGGAAGGGUGAUGGAGCGAGGGGGGGUGAGGGAUGAAGGAAGUGGUGUGGUAAAGGUGGGUUGUAUGGGAAGAAAAGGAGGGUAGCAGAGGAGAAAGCGGGGGGUAAAUAGGUG
Molecule: ribosomal RNA, 482 nt
Filed under: uncultured bacterium
Lineage: Bacteria
Description: partial 16S ribosomal RNA
Rfam family: Bacterial small subunit ribosomal RNA (bases 20-351)
Source: RNAcentral